Molecule: ribosomal RNA, 433 nt
Filed under: uncultured bacterium
Lineage: Bacteria
Description: partial 16S ribosomal RNA
Rfam family: Bacterial small subunit ribosomal RNA
Source: RNAcentral
AACGAACGCUGGCGGCAGGCUUAACACAUGCAAGUCGAACGGAUCCUUCGGGAUUAGUGGCAGACGGGUGAGUAACGCGUGGGAACGUACCCUUUGCUACGGAAUAACUCAGGGAAACUUGAGCUAAUACCGUAUGUGCCCUACGGGGGAAAGAUUUAUCGGCAAAGGAUCGGCCCGCGUUGGAUUAGCUAGUUGGUGGGGUAAUGGCCUACCAAGGCGACGAUCCAUAGCUGGUCUGAGAGGAUGAUCAGCCACACUGGGACUGAGACACGGCCCAGACUCCUACGGGAGGCAGCAGUGGGGAAUAUUGGACAAUGGGCGCAAGCCUGAUCCAGCCAUGCUGCGUGAGUGAUGAAGGUCUUAGGAUUGUAAAGCUCUUUCACCGGUGAAGAUAAUGACGGUAGCCGGAGAAGAAGCCCCGGCUAACUUCGUG